UUGCCACUCUUGAAUAACCUUUUUUUGGGCU
RNAcentral lists this non-coding RNA (31 nucleotides) under Mus musculus (house mouse). The record is from RNAcentral. Lineage: Eukaryota; Metazoa; Chordata; Mammalia; Rodentia; Muridae.